This is a non-coding RNA of Phlegmacium glaucopus, 70 nucleotides long. NCBI's taxonomy places the organism in Eukaryota, Fungi, Basidiomycota, Agaricomycetes, Agaricales, Cortinariaceae. The record is from the annotation of a GenBank genome assembly.
GCCAGUGUAGCUCAGUUGGCUAGAGCGCUUGUUAAUGCUGAACAGGUCCUAGGUUCGAUUCACGUUGGUG